This 340-nucleotide ribosomal RNA is filed under the name uncultured Pseudomonadota bacterium. RNAcentral describes it as "bacterial SSU rRNA". It matches the Rfam family "Bacterial small subunit ribosomal RNA", at positions 29 to 351 of the family's 1533-position model. Lineage: Bacteria; Pseudomonadati; Pseudomonadota. The record is from RNAcentral.
AAUGAACGCUGGCGGCGUGCCUAACACAUGCAAGUCGCACGAGAAAGCCUGAUUUCGGUUGGGCGAGUAAAGUGGCGCACGGGUGAGUAACGCGUAGGCAACCUACCCCCGGGUCUGGGAUAACAGUGCGAAAGCGCUGCUAAUACCGGAUACGCCCUCGAGGCGGGAGCUUCGAGGUGAAAGUCGGCCUCUCGAAGAAGCCGGUGUUCGGGGAUGGGCCUGCGUCCUAUCAGCUAGUUGGUAGGGUAAUGGCCUACCAAGGCUAUGAUGGGUAGCCGGCCUGAGAGGGUGAUCGGCCACACUGGAACUGAGACACGGUCCAGACUCCUACGGGUGGCUG